GCCUCUUCCCAAAAAGACAAAUAAUUAAAACCCUUCCGAAAUUAAGACCAAGAAACCCGAUCUCUUUCCUUUGCCAACUCCCACUUCUUUACUCCAUUUUUCUCUCUAAGCUCCGAGGUUGAGAGAGAGGAGAGCGAAAAACCCUAAUCGAGAUGAACAACUACCACGUUUACGAGGCGAUCGGCCGCGGAAAGCACUCGGUGGUUUAUAAAGGGAGGAAGAAGAAGACGAUCGAGUAUUAUGCCGUCAAGAGCGUGGAGAAGUCCCAAAGAUCGAAGGUCCUUCAAGAAGUUCGGAUGCUUCACUCUCUAGAUCAUCCAAAUGUACUGAAAUUUGAUUCUUGGUAUGAGACCUCUGCCCACUUAUGGCUGGUGUUGGAAUAUUGUGUUGGUGGAGACCUCAUGACUUUAUUGAAGCAGGAUAGUCGAUUUCCUGAAGAUUCUAUACAUGACUUGGCGUGUGAUGUUGUCAAAGCUCUUCAGUUCUUACAUUCGAAAGGGAUCAUUUAUUGUGAUCUUAAGCCAUCAAACAUCUUGCUAGAUGAGUAUGGACGAAUGAAGCUCUGUGAUUUUGGAUUAGCAAGGCGAUUAAGUGACAUAGAGAAAAGCUCUCUUGCCAUGUUGCCACAGUCAAAGCGAGGAACACCAUGCUAUAUGGCUCCUGAGCUAUUUCAGGAUGGCGGAGUCCACUCUUAUGCUUCUGAUUUUUGGGCACUGGGUUGUGUAUUAUAUGAAUGUUAUACUGGAAGGCCUCCUUUUGUAGGCAAAGAAUUUACCCAAUUGGUGAAAUCCAUAAUUUCAGAUCCUACACCACCCCUCCCGGAUAACCCUUCUAAAUCUUUUGAAAAUCUUAUUAACUGCCUCCUAAUAAAAGAUCCAGCUGAAAGGUUACAGUGGCCUGAAAUUUGUGAGCAUAGUUUUUGGAGAACGAAUUUCACUUCAGUACCGCUUCCUCGUCAGCCUGCUUUUAGUAACAUGCUUCAACUUUCUUCUAAACCAUACCUUUCAGAGCGAAAUGGUGAUAGACCUUCCCAACAGAGAACUCCUCCCAAGCGUCGCGAAAGUAACGCAAAUGGAGUUUUGAAGAAAGAUGAAAAUUCUACUAAGGGGAAUGGGGUUUUUGAGACACCGGCUAAGAAUGUGCAUGGUGGCAGAAAAAUUACAAAAGCUUCUCGGAGAGUCGAUGCUGCAAAAGGUGUAAAUCUUCUUAGGCUGUCAAGGAUGGCUAAGUUGAAUUUGCAGAGAGAGAAUGAGAAGGAAAACUACAGGCGACCGCUGCCUGAGACUUGUGAGAAUGAGGCUGAAGUGAAAAUUGAAAACAAUGACAUGGAACUAGAUUUUAGUGAGAAUCCUGAAGAUGAUACACCUGAUGAAUCUGACGGAUCUGAGAAUCCUUCUUGCAUGCCUACAGAGAAACUUCCAAUUCAAAAUGCUGAUGAAAGAGUUGAAGAGGUAGAGCAUAAAAUGAGUCAGUUGGAUAUUCUUCCAGAGAAUAUCAUCGUUGGGCCUGAUGACCUGAAGAAACUUGAGCAGGAUACAUGCUCAGAGCCACUUGAGGUGGUUGCUACCCCACCCAGUGUUAACCUUAGGAAAGCUCAACGUGUGAAAGUGGCUUCUGGGAGUGCCCCUGAUUCAGAGGCAUCUAGGUCAUUCAAUAAUUUAUCAGAAGUGUUUUGGCAUUCAUCAGAUCUCUCAGUCAAACCAGUAAUGCCCAGUAGAAAAGGUGAUAAAGCUUUGGAUGGUAUUCCCUCCUUGCCAUUUGAAGCUGUUCCUGCAUCUGAUUAUGUUAAGCUACCUCCAGAGCAACUGAACGCACUUAACUCUUGCAUAAUUCAUAGUUUGAGUGGGAGCUCUCAGGUCUCAGAAAAACAGAAUGCCAUCAGAUACUUAGAAAUUUUAAGUGGAAAUGCUGAUGCUGCAAAUAUCAUAACCAAUGGGCCGGUGAUGUUGUUGCUUGUAAAAAUGCUAAGGCUUUCAAAGUUACCUGCCUUGCGUGUUCAGGUUGCUUCAGUGAUGGGUUUGUUGAUUCGCCAUUCUACUUUUAUUGAAGCUGAUCUUGCAAAUUCUGGAAUUGUAAAUGCACUAACAGAUGGCUUAAGGGACAAACAUGACAAAAUAAGGAGGUUCUCCAUGGCUGCUUUAGGGGAACUGCUUUUUUACAUAUCUACUCAGGCAGAUAAUAAUGCCAAAGAUGGCAAUACCCUUGAAUCUCCGUCGAAGGACAACCGGUCUACAUCCAGUUGGCAGGUCCCAAAUUCGGUGAUUGCUUUGGUUUCAUCCAUCUUGCGUAGAGGAGAGGAUGAUGUUGCCCAGUUGUAUGCUUUAAGAACAAUUGAGAACAUAUGCAGUCAAGGAGGGGACUGGACAUCGCGUUUUGUCAGCCAGGAUGUCAUUGGAAAUCUCUGUUAUAUAUAUAAAGCAACAGGGAAGCAGGAGAGUACAAGGCUUAUUGCUGGAUCUUGUCUAGUCCGUCUAGCUCGAUUCAGCCCACAGUGCAUACAGUCAGUGCUUGAGAGGUUGUCAUUCAAGGACACUGCAUCUGCGCUCAUCAAGGGCAACCCGCGUGAGCAGCAGAUCAGCCUAAAUCUACUUAACAUGUCAAUUCUAAGCAGCCAUUUGUUAACAAACAUGGGCCGACAGCUGCUAUCAUUAAUGGAGGAAAAGCACUUGGUCCCAGGUCUUGUAUCACUUAUCGAGCAGGGAAGUGAAGUUUUACGUGGGAAAGCACUCAUCUUUGUGGCACUUCUGUGUAAGAACAGCCGCAGAUGGCUUCCCCAUUUCUUUUGCAAUGCUAAAGUACUAUCUGCAGUUGAUAGGUUGGGGAAAGAGAAGGUUGGGUUCAUUCAGAAAUGCGUGGAAGCUUCUGUGAAACUAGUUGCUAAUACUGUGCCAUCUAUUCUUGAAACUGUUUCUGGAGACAUACAACAGAUGAUGGGAGGUAAACGCCAUGGACCGAUUGCUGCUCUCACUGGACGUGGUAACACAAAGAGUAGUGCUCAUCUAUUUCCGGUUAUUCUUCAUCUUCUUGGAAGCUCUUCUUUCAAGCAUAAGGUGGUGAGCAGUCAUGUCUUGCUCCAGUUGGCAAAUAUUAUCAAGCUUUUAGAGGCACCUUUUCAGGGAAGAGAUGAUUUCCAAAUCACAUUGCUUCGAGUACUUGAAUCAGUCACAGAGGAGCCUUCUGUUAUUCUUGAUGAUCCUAAGAUGUUUACUAGUCGAAUCCUUCCUAGCCUAGCCAUUAUGUACAAGGGCAACAAAGAUGGAGAUGCCAGAUUCUUAUGUUUGAAAUUAUUAUUUGAUGUGAUGGUUGUGAUCUUCAGUGAUACUACAGUACCUGAUGAUGAACAUAUAGUGGAGGAUCUGAGGUCAAUAUCACGAACCUAUUUUCUUCCUCUUUACCCAACACUUAUUGAAGAUGAAGAUCCCAUUCCAAUGUAUGCUCAGAAGCUGUUGGUAAUGCUCAUUGAAUUUAAUUAUGUUAAAGUCUCAGAUAUUCUGCAUUUGAAAACAGUCUUGCAGUGCUUUGAGUUCUUACUUGGCGAUCUUUCUAAUGCAAAUGUGAACAAUGUGAAGCUCUGUCUGGCCCUAGCAUCUGCUCCUGAAAUGGAGACUAAAAUUCUAUCCCAUCUGCGAGUGGUCAGAAAAAUUGGAAAUCUUCUUGAGCUUGUGAAUGCGAAGGAGAUGGAGGAUUUUCUUGAACCAACGUUGGGUCUUUGCAAGGCAUUCAUUUUGCAUGGCAUUGGUAGCAAUAAAGCCUUAGCUCUUUGUAAAGAACCGGCUCUCUUAGGCAACAAUGCCUUUGACAUGAGUAUUGCUGUUGAUCAGCAGCAAUGCAUCAAGGAUGUCAGUGACUUUGGUAGCAACAUUGGUGUGUUUCUAGAUUUAAUUGGGAAUUCUGAUGCACAUAUUGCCAAUUUGGCAUCAGAGUGUGUGGUUUUGCUGCUUAAGGCAUCCCCUAGAGAAGCCACAAUGGGUCUUUUAACAAACCUUCCCAAAAUCUGCAGUCUUCUGGAAUCAUUGCACUAUGAUUCCUCCGCCUUGCAGUUGCUGCGUCUUCUGUAUGGCCUUGCCUUUUCUUGUAGACAAUAUCUGUCUCAGGCAAUGAUUCUGUCAAUAUCUAUUCCAGCGGUCAUGCAAAUGGAAGCUGUUGUCUCAAAACUCAAGAGCUCCAGUAUUCAUGGUGUUGCAGAGGCUGCUUUGAAUUUAGGCUUAGAGUUGCAACGCCUGCCUCGGUGUGUUUGAGCUUAUACAUCUUGAAUUCAGGAAUGAUUUAAUAAAGAAUGAUCUUGCUCUUACCGAGCUUUGCUGGCCUCCUGGCCAUGGUUUCAGGCAUCACUGUCUCUGCGAUGAAGAUGCAUCGAUGCAAGCUUGGCAACAAGGUCAGCUGCAGAAACUAAACCAGAAUCACUAAGUGGGGGUGCUUGGUACCGGAGGAUUUGGCAGGAGAUACACUUAUGAUAAGAUUAAAAUUGUGUGAAAGUUCAUAUAUUUUGUGAGGACGGGGAUUGGGAAUUUAAAAAGUGUUUGUUAAUGGAUUUGGUAGAGGGUAGAUCCAGUUUAUUUGAUUUUUGUAUCACCAGAAAAAUUGGUGGACAGGAGACAAGCUAUAAAGAAGUUAUGGACCCUAUAAUAUCUCAAGGAAUUAUGGAUUUGAAGAAGUAAAUAAAAAUUGACAGUGCACGGUAAAGCAAA
Molecule: non-coding RNA, 4688 nt
Organism: Elaeis guineensis (African oil palm)
Lineage: Eukaryota; Viridiplantae; Streptophyta; Magnoliopsida; Arecales; Arecaceae
Source: RefSeq, a predicted model, not a curated record